This is a long non-coding RNA of Leopardus geoffroyi (Geoffroy's cat), 5096 nucleotides long. RefSeq lists it as uncharacterized. The record is from RefSeq and is a predicted model, not a curated record. NCBI's taxonomy places the organism in Eukaryota, Metazoa, Chordata, Mammalia, Carnivora, Felidae. The transcript is spliced from 2 exons.
UUCCCUCCUUCCUUCCUUCCUUCCUUCCGCUCCUUCCCCCCUUACAUCAUUUUUUCUGAAAGAAGGUCCUUCUCUGGGCUGAGGAGAACAGAGGAAAAGGAGGCACAGUGACAUGACGUUAGCGUCUGGAAACACAGCCCAAAGAAAGUGCCCUUCCCUUUUGGCCCUUCUUGGGGGCUGAGGGCACGUGAAACACUUCCUUUAUGCCCCUUCUCGGCUCGCCGUCCCCGUGGCGGGAAGGGACACGCUCUUUGGGAACUCUCGGCUUCCAUGUAAACCUCACAGCAUUUUUGAGCCUGGGUAGAACGGUUCAGCCAAGAGAGGCAUUUAUUAUGCAACCAACAUUCAUUAAGCACCGACUGUAUGCCAGGGACUGGGAAAACAGAGGUGAACCAGACACGCUACCUGGGCUUAAGUAGCUGCUGGUCUGAGGGAAGAGGCAGUGGGUCAGACGAAUAAAGAUGAGGUCACGGCCUGCUGGCGGAGGUCCCUGCCUUGAGCUCUCUUGGAAUCAGGGGAGCCGUACCCCCUGAGGGAAGUUCCAUACCCGGUCUUGAAGCUCUUUAUCAAAAGCAGCAGUGUCUCUGGUACCUCCUGCCUCCCUCAGGAGGUUUCCGGGAUGGACGCUAGGUCUCCCAUUGGACGGACAAAGAAACUGAGGCCCAGAGGCACGGAACAAAAAGUCCCAGAGUUGCGGUCAGGACUGAGUCUUGGCCCUGGGGGCCCACAUCCAGGGCAUCCUGGCUGCCGCGGAGGGCCGCCACAGUCAUCGGAUGCGACGCUCAGUGCGCACCUGCUCAGGCAGCCCCACCAGAACCCAGGGAGGGAGGCGUCACGGUCAUGUUCACGCCACGCACGGGACACGGGCGGGGGAGGGCCGAGAAGCUCGCUCGCAGCCGCGUAGCUCGCACGCAGAACCCACUGGAGCCCGAGCUGGUGCUUUUUGUUUUUUGUUUUCUUUUUCAAAUUGUGGUUAAAUACAACAUAACCUCAUGUUUCUCACUUUAUUUGUAAGUGUCAACCCAGUGGCGUCAGAUACAUUCGUCGUGCCGUGUGACCCUCACCAGCACCUACGCGGAGAUUUUCGUCAUCCCCCGACAAAAUCUCUGAACCCACGAGGCAGGGACGGCCCCCCCCCCCCCCCCCCCCGCCCACCGCGCAGCCCCUGGGAUGGCUCUGCGGCUCCAUGGCAUCUGACGGCUCUAGGGACCUCAUAUGAGCGGAGUCACAGGGUCUGUCCUUUGUGACUGGCAUCUUGCACUCAGCACAGUGUCCUCAGGGUUCUUGGGUGGUGCAGCCUGUGUGAGAAUUCCCUUCCUUCCUUCGUAAGUCGGAUAAUAUUCCACUGUAGGGAUGGGCCGCGUCUUAGCCGUUCAUCUUUUGAUGGCAGAAUCCUCCCUUGAAAAGAAAUAAUUAUGCUCUCCUGCAGACACGUGUCCCGGGGGACGGUGCUGGGACCCGGGUGGGGCUGUGGGAAGUGCUGCAGACACCCCUGAAGGUCCCGCCGUGUGGCCAGGGGCUCUGGCCGCGUGCGGCUCCCUUCACCAGGACUCCGCAGUCAGCAGGCAGCUUUGGCGCCUCCUGUAUACGGGCCCUGUGCUAGGCACUGGGGAGAGGUGGUGAGGGGGGUUCAGAGGCAAGCAGACCGCCAUCCCCCUAGUGGGGGAGGAGGGAAGGUGCACUCAACACACAUUCGACGAGCAAGUUGUCCGGGGCCUUCUGCGUGCACCAGCACCAGCAUCCAGAGCUAAUGGGUGAACCUCCGCCCUCGGUUUCCCCACCUGGCGGCCAGGGCAUUCUCCGGGGGACCUUCCAGGCCGAUGCUCUGAGUUCACUGUUCCAGGCGUGGGCGACUCCGGGUUUAGCGGGCUGAGGCUGCUGCAGGUGUCUGGGAGCCGGUCUGCUUUGGGGGGAAACCCCAGCCUGCUUCUGCUCAUCGGCCCCCCAGCGAGCAGGCUUCUCAGUCCAGAAGGCAGGUCCUGACUGCCUGGGCUUCCUUCCUGACCUUCAGCUGGUUUCUUCCCCGGGGCUCCCACCCACCGCUUCCAGCACGCGUCUCUGCCGCCACGAGGCCAGGAGCGGACGCUCCAUCCGGGAGAGGCUCGCAGCCACGACAUUCUGCCCUCCCGGCUGCCUGUGCUGAGGGCUGGAGGCCGUGGGGACGAGCCGUUCUCGCUUGCUUACAUAAGGCUUGGCACCUGGACCCCCGGAGCCACACUCCCGGGCACGACCUCGAGUCCUAGACGUGAGGCGGGUCAGAGAGCACGCCCGGGUCUGGGCUGGAGAGGCGUGUGGCCGGGAAGGGGUGGGGGGGGGACCCACGUUAGGUCCCGCAGCUGUGCCUCCGCUCUCCAGCCCUCACCAGCCUGGCGUUAGCAUUCUUCCGCGCCUUGGCCAGUGCGCUAAGAGCAAAAUGGCACUUUCGCCGUCUAUGCGGGACGUUGCAUUUCUUUGAUCGUUGACAAAAUUCAACGUUCUGUUACCUUGUGUUUAUGGACCCUAUUUUCCUUUGAUGAAUUACCCAACUGUAUCCUUAGCCCACUCUUCCAUUAAUGUGGUUUUUUUUUUUCUUGUUGAUUUACAAGAACUCUUUGUAUAUUAUGGAUAGGGAGAAGAGGCAGAGUGGAUUCACGGAUUUGUUCUCUUUUCUGGGGAGAGUAAAUGCAACUGUCACCCCUUUCUCAAGGUCAGCUGAUGUUUGACAUUCCAAUUGCCUUUUCCUCCCCCUCUCAGCUUUACGCUUUUCUUUGCAUUUCACAGCUGCCCGGGCACAGCUGCCCCUAUGGGGGGCUAUAUAAAGCCCCAAGGAGAGCUUGAUCUUGGAGCAAAAGACCCCAGUGUAACAGCCUUUAUGCAAGAAAAGGAUGUCUGAGUUUGUGCUCUCUGGAUGCUUUCUCUGGCCAGCAGAUGAUAGGGAAGGACCGAACCCCAACCAUCCCCUCCCCAACACGCACAGCCCCUGGCCCCGACGAAACACGCAGUCGCUUCUUUGGGGACAAGCAGAUUUUUCAAACAAAGUUUGCCAAAUAGGCACAUUUUGUUGUGUUUUUUUUCCCCAUCCAGGGCAGAUGCAAACGGUCUUUUCAAAUCGGUUUGGAGGAAAAUAAAUGAGCCCAUGCUGGGGCUUCAAUAAAUCUUUGCGUAAAGCCACAAGGGACAAAGGGAGCUUUGGGCAUUUCUCCCCCUCCUGGAGGGUCUCCCGGUGAAAUAUUUGUCGUGGCCGUGCUCCGCGUGUGACCGGGGUCCGUGUCUCUGAGCCAGGACCUGUCUCCAGGGGGCGAUCUGUGUGCUGACCUUCCGCCCAGCGGCUCGAGGACCCCCACCCCGGCUGCAGGCGACUCUGGUCCCCCAAGGAGGAUCAUCUCUCCUGGCCUCCCUGCUGGGGACUGGAGGUUGGUGGCAGCAGCGUGGCUCGUCGCCUCCUGGCCCGUCUCCCCGUGCUGUCCCCACCCACCGGCCAAAUGGUGGCCUGGUCUCCAUCCGCACUCUUCUCCCUCUGUCUCCCUGACACUCUGCAUCCAGUGUCCCAGCCCCCAGCACGUUGCCCAGGCGGCUUGGCACCUGGGGCAACCUUCACCUACCAGACCCCCCUGGAGGAGCCUUGCUCUCCCGUGAGGGAUGACCCCCGAGGCUCCUCGACGCCGUGAUGCCUGCCUUGAUUUCCCUUCCCGAUGCAGCGGACCUCCAUUCUUUCUAGGCGGUGGGCAUGUUGUGGACACUUGGCCUUCCUUGUGAUUUCCACUUGGCACCUCUCUGGCGUUUUCACGGGUUCCUCCACUCUGGGUGUGUCUGAUUCCUUUCUUAGAGGGAGGUCGGGAGUAACAGGCCGGGCUGAGCGUGGCACGCGUGCGCUCCAUGGGCCACGGGGACCCGUGGAGCCGGAGGCGACAGCAUCCGUGGGCCAGGAGGGGGCCUCAGCGCCCAGCGGGAGAGGAGAGUCCCUCCCUGACUCCAGGAUGCAUGGAGUGGACCACUUGUCCACCCCUGCCUGGCCGUCUGGACUGGGGUAAUCGCGUCCCCCCACCCCCCCCAAAUUCAUACCCACCGCAUCUCAGAACGGGAACUUAUUUGGAAGUAGGGUCUUUGCCGCAGAUGUAAUUAAAGUCCGGGUCUCGAGACGAGAUCAUCGUGGCUUAGGGAGGGCCUCAAAUCCCACGAGUGUCUUUAUAAAGGACAGAGGUGAAGACCCACGCACACACAGAGACCGUGUGAGAUCGAGGCAGAGAUGCGAGCGCUGUGGCCGCAGCCCGGGGAUGUCCGGAGCCCCCGGAAGUUGUAGGGCGCGGGAAGGACCCUCCCCGAGAGCGUCUGGAGGGCGCGGGGCCCCGCCCACCCCCCCGCCCACCCUUGAUUUCAGAUCUCUGGCCUCCAGACCGUCAGAGAAUCAGUCUCUAUUGUUUUAAGCAACCAGGUGUGGGGUUCUUUGUUACCGCAGCCCCGCGACACUCAGACGACAUCCGUUGCCAACAGGACUGAAGGAAGUGGGCGGAGAUUUCCCUAGUUAGCGGUCUCCCUCUCUGAGAGGGUCGGCCUGCCGUCCCAUUGUCCCAUUGCUGCCGUCCACACCCCCGUGCUGGCUGAGACCAGGCUGCCACGGGCUCCGCCCUCUCCCACCCCACAGCCACCCUCACAGACAGGGGCCGCUGCGACUUCUUCCACGGGCAGGGAAACUGAGGCUCAGAGAGGCUGGGCAAGAGCCACAGCUAUGGCGCUUGGCCACUGGGUUGGCUCCAGCUCAUGGCCUCUGACCCCGGUGACUUACUCCAGGCCCUUGAGCGCCACUCGAUCCAGAGCUGACCCUCAUCAUCUGUUCCUGGGGCUGCGAACAGCGCUUGUAGCCAUGGAACCCUCAGGGUGGGAGCCCACGGACUUUCCGGAACGUUUGCCCGAAGCAGUGAGGAUUCACUGAAUGAAGGAAUCCCUGAUGAUGAACUGAUGAAUGAAGCCGGUCUGGCGGGCUCCAGGGGUAGAGAUCAUUUGUGACAUGCGGCCAUUCUUUCCCCCGGGUUUCUGCAGGUGGAUAUACUUGAAAAACAAACACAAAAUUGAGGCCAAAGUGUGUUUAUCAUUCAAUAGACUUCUGGUUUCUUGUUUCA